UGUAAGCGUAUACCAAAGUUGUUGCAGUUAAAACGCUCGUAGUCGGAAUUUGGCAGUUCCGGAUGUGUGCACGUCGUGUGCGCACUUCGCGGGGAUUGCUUCUGUGGUCUUGCGUAGGAUGAGGCACUUUUAUUAGUGAACGUCCUCACGCAACCACUUUUUACUGUGAGAAAAUCAGAGUGCUCAAAGCAGGCAUUUGCCGUGAAUGUAUUAGCAUGGAAUAAUAGAAUAGGACUUGGUUCUAUUUUGUUGGUUUGUUGGGACUGAGUAAUGAUUAAGAGGGACAGUUGGGGGCACUUGUAUUUCGGUGCUAGAGGUGAAAUUCUUAGAUUACCGAAAGACAAACUGCUGCGAAAGCGUCUGCCAAGGAUGUUUUCAUUGA
RNAcentral lists this ribosomal RNA (382 nucleotides) under uncultured eukaryote. RNAcentral describes it as "partial 18S ribosomal RNA". It matches the Rfam family "Eukaryotic small subunit ribosomal RNA", at positions 592 to 976 of the family's 1831-position model. The record is from RNAcentral.